This 85-nucleotide microRNA precursor is filed under the name Bombyx mori (domestic silkworm). Its description in RNAcentral is "mir-2807 microRNA precursor family". It matches the Rfam family "mir-2807 microRNA precursor family". Lineage: Eukaryota; Metazoa; Arthropoda; Insecta; Lepidoptera; Bombycidae. The record is from Rfam by way of RNAcentral.
UUAACUGAAAUUCGUAUGAAAUUGGAAAGUUUGCGCUCGUCUGCCGCUAGGGGCGCUGAUCCAACUGCAUACAAAAUUUGAGUUA